Long non-coding RNA from Orcinus orca (killer whale), 1059 nucleotides. RefSeq lists it as uncharacterized. The transcript has 2 exons. Lineage: Eukaryota; Metazoa; Chordata; Mammalia; Artiodactyla; Delphinidae. The record is from RefSeq and is a predicted model, not a curated record.
CUCCAUAACAAGAAAACAAACAACCCAAUCCAAAAAUGGGCAGAAGACCUAAAUAGACAUUUCUCCAAAGAAGAUAUACAGACUGCCAACAAACACAUGAAAGAAUGCUCAACAUCAUUAAUCAUUAGAGAAAUGCAAAUCAAAACUACAAUGAGAUAUCAUCUCACACCAGUCAGAAUGGCCAUCAUCAAAAAAUCUACAAACAAUAAAUGCUGGAGAGGGUGUGGAGAAAAGGGAACCCUCUUGCACUGCUGGUGGGAAUGUGAAUUGGUUCAGCCACUAUGGAGAACAGUAUGGAGGUUCCUUAAAAAACUACAAAUAGAACUACCAUAUGACCCAGCAAUCCCACUACUGGGCAUAUACCCUGAGAAAACCGAAAUUCAAAAAGAGUCAUGUACCAAAAUGUUCAUUGCAGCUCUAUUUACAAUAGCCCGGAGAUGGAAACAACCUAAGUGCCCAUCAUCGGAUGAAUGGAUAAAGAAGAUGUGGCACAUAUAUACAAUGGAAUAUUACUCAGCCAUAAAAAGAAACGAAAUUGAGCUAUUUGUAAUGAGGUGGAUAGACCUAGAGUCUGUCAUACACAGUGAAGUAAGUCAGAAAGAAAAAGACAAAUACCGUAUGCUAACACAUAUAUAUGGAAUUUAAGAAAAAAAAUGUCAUGAAGAACCUAGGGGUAAAGCAGGAAUAAAGAUGCAGACCUCCUAGAGAAUGGACUUGAGGUUAUGGGGAGGGGGAAGGGUGAGCUGUGACAGGGCGAGAGAGAGUCAUGGGCAUAUACACACUAACAAACGUAGUAAGGUAGAUAGCUAGUGGGAAGCAGCCGCAUGGCACAGGGAUAUUGGCUCGGUGCUUUGUAACAGCCUGGAGGGGUGGGAUAGGGAGGGUGGGAGGGAGGGAGACGCAAGAGGGAAGAGAUAUGGGAACAUAUGUAUAUGUAUAACUGAUUCACUUUGUUAUAAAGCAGAAACUAACACACCAUUGUAAAGCAAUUAUACCCCAAUAAAGAUGUUAAAAAAAUAAAUAAAUAAAUAAAUAAAUUGACCAUAAAAAAAAAAAAAA